UACGUAGGGGGCAAGCGUUGUCCGGAUUUAUUGGGCGUAAAGAGCGCGUAGGCGGCUUUGUAAGUCCGUUGUGAAAACUCGAGGCUCAACCUCGAGACGGCGGUGGAAACUGCAAAGCUAGAGUCCGGAAGAGGAGAGUGGAAUUCCUGGUGUAGCAGUGAAAUGCGUAGAUAUCAGGAGGAACACCGAUGGCGAAGGCAGGUCUCUGGGCUGACACUGACGCUGAGGCACGAAAGCGUGGGGAGCAAACAGG
This 253-nucleotide ribosomal RNA is filed under the name uncultured bacterium. Its description in RNAcentral is "partial 16S ribosomal RNA". It matches the Rfam family "Bacterial small subunit ribosomal RNA", at positions 524 to 776 of the family's 1533-position model. The record is from RNAcentral.